UACGGGGGGAGCAAGCGUUGUUCGGAUUUACUGGGCGUAAAGGGCGCGUAGGCGGCGUGACAAGUCACUUGUGAAAUCUCUGAGCUUAACUCAGAACGGCCAAGUGAAACUGUUGUGCUAGAGUGCAGAAGGGGCAAUCGGAAUUCUUGGUGUAGCGGUGAAAUGCGUAGAUAUCAAGAGGAACACCUGAGGUGAAGACGGGUUGCUGGGCUGACACUGACGCUGGAGGCGCGAAAGCCAGGGGAGCAAACGGG
RNAcentral lists this ribosomal RNA (254 nucleotides) under uncultured bacterium. RNAcentral's name for it is "partial 16S ribosomal RNA". It matches the Rfam family "Bacterial small subunit ribosomal RNA", at positions 524 to 776 of the family's 1533-position model. The record is from RNAcentral.